Molecule: non-coding RNA, 74 nt
Organism: Characodon lateralis
Lineage: Eukaryota; Metazoa; Chordata; Actinopteri; Cyprinodontiformes; Goodeidae
Source: the annotation of a GenBank genome assembly
CUCCAUGGUGGUGCAGUUGGUAGCGCUGUUGCCUUGCAGCCAGAAGGUCCUGGGUUUGACUCCCGACCGGGGGU